UUGCGGGCGUGAUGGCAGCGGCAUCCUUUUUUGAGGCACGAAAAAAAGAUACAGCGGACAGCGCGGAUUUCC
This 72-nucleotide small RNA is filed under the name Flavobacterium noncentrifugens. RNAcentral's name for it is "Flavo-1 RNA". It matches the Rfam family "Flavo-1 RNA". The record is from Rfam by way of RNAcentral. Lineage: Bacteria; Pseudomonadati; Bacteroidota; Flavobacteriia; Flavobacteriales; Flavobacteriaceae.